CCAAAAGUAGUAAAAGAAGCUUGUACCAGACCCUCCAAGAAGUUUUUCAUAUCUGUGUCAAUAUUCCCUUUUGAUGAAGCAGCUAGCUGGCACAAGACAUUCUUCUUCCUUGACUCUGCUCCUCGGUCCGCAUGCUUUCUCUUGUUUCUUCCCGAAACAUCAGCUGUACCAUCAACAUUCUCUGCAACAUGACUAUUCUCACCCCUCUCAGUAUCAGCUGCUUGAUCCUCUCUUUUUU
RNAcentral lists this long non-coding RNA (238 nucleotides) under Brassica napus (rape). RNAcentral describes it as "long non-coding RNA (BNAP_LNC013611)". The record is from RNAcentral. Lineage: Eukaryota; Viridiplantae; Streptophyta; Magnoliopsida; Brassicales; Brassicaceae.